UUACACGUGGGUAACCUGCCCAUAAUACUGGGAUAACUCCGGGAAACCGGGGCUUAUACCGGAUAACAUUUUUAAUCGCAUGGUUCAAAAUUGAAAGGUGGCUUCUGAUGACGCUUAUGGAUGGAUACGCGUCCCGGUAGCUAUUUGGCGAGGUAACGGCUCACCUGGGCAACGAUGCGUAGCCCACCUGAUAGGGUGAUCGGACACUCUGCGACUUCCACACGGACCACACUCCUACGAGAGGCAGCCAUAGGGAAUCUUCCUCAAUGGACCAAACUCUGAGGGAGAAGCGCCGCCUGAGUGAUGAAGGCUUUCUGGUCGUAAAAAUCUGCUGUUAUGGAAGAACCAGUGCUACUUGAAUAACUUGGCACCGUGACGGUACCUCACCGCAAAGCCACGGCUAACUACGGGCCAUCAGCCGCGGAAAUACUUACGUGGCAAGCGAUAUCCCUAAUUAUUGGGCGUAAAGCGCGCGCAGGUGGCUUCUUAAUUCUGAUGUGAACGCCCACGGCUCCUCCGUGGAUGGACAUUGGAAACUGGGACACUUGAAUGCAGAAGAGGAAAGUGCAAUUCCAUGUGUACCUGAGAAAUGCGUAGAGAUAUGGAGGAACUACCGUGUCGAAUGCGACUUUCUGGUCUGUAACUGACACUGAAGCGCGAAUACAUGAGGAGCUACUACGAUUAUAUACCCUGGUAGUCUACUCCUAAACGAUGAGUGCUACGUGUUAUACGGUUACCACUUUUACAGCUGAAGCUCACGCAUUCAACACUCCGUCCUGGGGGAGUACUGACGCGAGGCUGAAACUCACAUGAAAUUGACAGCGGGCCCGCACAUGCGGCGCGAGCAAUGUCGGUUAUCAAUUGCUAAGCAACCUGCUGAUCCCUGACCGGGGACUGGACCUUCAUCCUGAACAGCCCCUAUACAUGGUGCCGUUCAUCCGUCC
RNAcentral lists this ribosomal RNA (944 nucleotides) under Bacillus sp. (in: firmicutes). Its description in RNAcentral is "bacterial SSU rRNA". It matches the Rfam family "Bacterial small subunit ribosomal RNA", at positions 111 to 1317 of the family's 1533-position model. The record is from RNAcentral. Lineage: Bacteria; Bacillati; Bacillota; Bacilli; Caryophanales; Bacillaceae.